AUGCUCCUUUUCAUUUCCGCAGGAUCUGAGAACCAAUUGUGCACGUUCAUGUCCUUCAGGCCCUCUUGGUUGAGGUCCUUUGGGUCUCUGGAGAUAUAUAUAUAUAUAUAUAUGUAUAUUAUAUAUAUAUAUAUAUUUUUUUUUCCAAUUUACAGGCACUCUGAGCCCCCAUCCUGUAUAAACGUCCCGCUCAACAGCUGUCCUGAGCACCAGAGUGGAAAUGAACAAGGUUGGUCGUGAUGACUUAUAAAGUCUGAAGGGUUCAUGAAGUAGAUGGCGCAAAUGGGGAAACUGGUGCCCAGAGGAAGGGAAAUGACUCACCCAACAUUCAGGGGCUGAUCCUGGGCUAGAAACAAGUCUUCCGAGCCAGUCUUGCCAUGACAUUUGCGUUCUCUGUGACAAUGGUGAUGAUUCUAUGGUACACGGCACGGAGGACGUGGACCACAAGCAUGGCUCUUUGCCAACAGAUCCUGAAGAACAUCAAAGAUGAGAGCAGAAAAUUCUUACAAGUCAGUUACCUUUUAUGUUUAAUUACUAUGCAGUCUAAUUAUACUGAUGGGGUUCGUUAAUAUGUCAAAUUGUGUUUUAUGUUUUUAUAUCAUAAGAAGCCAUCACCCCACGGGGUGUGGGCCAAUGGCGUGUGUAUAAGGAGAGAGGACUUCUGAGACAGGGCUUGCUGCUGACUUGCUGGAGGCACAUUGCAGUACUUCCCAGGCGCCUUCUCAGGUCAUCCCGACCCCAGAUACAGGCAGACUUGUUUCCAUUUCACAGAUGAGAAAACAGAGGCCCAGAGACGUUAAGGGACUCACCUAUCGUCAUGGAGCUAGUGAACGGCAGACUGGCUCUGAUCAACGUCUGCCCUAUUCCAAAGUUGUGCUCCUCCCCGACUCUCUGAUGCCAGGUCCCUGCAGAGACAACAAAGGCUCUGUGGUAAAGUGACUGUCUCCUCUUCUGUAAAAUCCUGCCUCCUGGUUUCUGCGUUCACUAAGCAGGGCCACCCC
RNAcentral lists this long non-coding RNA (1001 nucleotides) under Capra hircus (goat). RNAcentral describes it as "lncRNA (ENSCHIG00010028373.1)". Lineage: Eukaryota; Metazoa; Chordata; Mammalia; Artiodactyla; Bovidae. The record is from RNAcentral.